CAUCUCCCCCAAGAGGCUCUGCCAUAACCUAGUAGGACCAGCCUGGGAACCAGACCAAUACAGUGGUUCUGCCUCUGAACUCAUGAUAACAAGGUGUCACUCCACCCAUGGCAGCUCUGGUUUCCGGCCCUGAAUCUAUACAAUCUCCCCCAAGAGGCUCUGCCAUAACCUAGUAGGACCAGCCUGGGAACCAGACCAAUACAGUGGUUCUGCCUCUGAACUCAUGGUAACAAGGUGUCACUCCACCCAUGGCAGCUCUGGUUUCCAGCCCUGAAUCUAUACCAUCUCCCCCAAGAGGCUCUGCCAUAACCUAGUAGGACCAGCCUGGGAACCAGACCAAUACAGUGGUUCUGCCUCUGAACUCAUGGUGAGUCGCUUGGCUCAUAGUUUAUGACUCUAUCCUGGUGAUGCCCAAAUAAU
This is a long non-coding RNA of Gadus morhua (Atlantic cod), 420 nucleotides long. RefSeq lists it as uncharacterized. The record is from RefSeq and is a predicted model, not a curated record. The transcript is spliced from 3 exons. Lineage: Eukaryota; Metazoa; Chordata; Actinopteri; Gadiformes; Gadidae.